GCUUACGGCCAUACCACCCUGAAAACACCCGAUCUCGUCCGAUCUCUGAAGCUCAGCAGGGUCGGGCCUGGUUAGUACUUGGAUGGGAGACCGCCUGGGAAUACCAGGUGCUGUAAGCU
This 119-nucleotide ribosomal RNA is filed under the name Monopterus albus (swamp eel). Lineage: Eukaryota; Metazoa; Chordata; Actinopteri; Synbranchiformes; Synbranchidae. The record is from RNAcentral.